RNAcentral lists this ribosomal RNA (1364 nucleotides) under metagenome. Its description in RNAcentral is "bacterial SSU rRNA". It matches the Rfam family "Bacterial small subunit ribosomal RNA", at positions 85 to 1442 of the family's 1533-position model. The record is from RNAcentral.
CUGACACCAAGUGGCGCAUGGGUGAGUAACACGUAGGUAACCUGCCUCGAGGAGGGGGAUAACAGACCGAAAGGUUUGCUAAUACCCCGUAGUACCCAGAUUUCGCAUGGAGACUGGGUUAUAGACUGUCGCAAGAUGGUCACCUUGGGAGGGGCCUGCGGGCUAUCAGCUAGUUGGUAGGGUAACGGCCUACCAAGGCUUUGACGGCUAGCCGGCUUGAGAGAGUGACCGGCCACACUGGAACUGAGACACGGUCCAGACUCCUACGGGAGGCAGCAUAGGGAAUCUUCCGCAAUGGGCGAAAGCCUGACGGAGCAAUGCCGCGUGAGGGAUGAAGGCCUUCGGGUUGUAAACCUCUGUUGAUAGGGAAGAAGGGCGCUAUGAAAGUAGUGGCCUUGACGGUACCUGUCGAGGAAGCCCCGGCUAAUUACGUGCCAGCAGCCGCAGUAAUACGUAAGGGGCAAGCGUUGUCCGGAAUCACUGGGCGUAGAGGGCGCGUAGGCGGUUUGAUAAGUAGAAGGUGAAAGAUUCGGGCUCAACCCGAAAAUUGCCUUCUAAACUGUCUUACUUGAGGGUCUGAGGUGAAACUGGAAUUCACGGUGUAGCGGUGAAAUGCGUAGAUAUCGUGGAGAACACCCGUGGCGAAAGCGGGUUUCUGGCAGACUCCUGACGCUGAGGCGCGAAGGCUAGGGGAGCAAACGGGAUUAGAUACCCCGGUAGUCCUAGCUGUAAACGAUGGGUACUGGGUGUGGGGACUUCGGUCUCCGUGCCGGCGCUAACGCAUUAAGUACCCCGCCUGGGGACUACGAUCGCAAGAUUAAAACUCAAAGGAAUUGACGGGGGCCCGCACAAGCGGUGGAGCAUGUGGAUUAAUUCGAUCCACGCGAGGAACCUUACCUGGACUUGACAUCCCGGGACCGCCAUAGAAAUAUGGUUUCCCCUUCGGGGGCCCGGAGACAGGUGGUGCAUGGCUGUCGCCAGCUCGUGUCGUGAGAUGUUGGGUUAAGUCCCGCAACGAGCGCAACCCUUGCCGUUAGUUGCCAGCAUUUAGUUGGGGACUCUAACGGGACUGUCGGUAACAAGCCGAAGGAAGGUGGGGAUGACGUCAAGUCAGCAUGCCCCUUAUGUCCAGGGCUUCACACGUGCUACAAUGGCCGGUUACAAAGAGAAGCAAGUUCGCAAGACCAAGCCAAUCUCCAAAGCCGGUCUCAGUUCAGAUUGAGGGUUGCAACUCACCCUCAUGAAGGCGGAAUCGCUAGUAAUCGUGAAUCAGCAUGUCACGGUGAAUACGUUCCCGGGCCUUGUACACACCGCCCGUCACACCACCCGAGUUGGGUGCACCCGAAGUCGCCCUACCUAACCGC